CCUACGGGUGGCAGCAGUGGGGAAUAUUGGACAAUGGGGGCAACCCUGAUCCAGCCAUGCCGCGUGUGUGAAGAAGGCCCUCGGGUUGUAAAGCACUUUCAGUGAGGAAGAACGCCUGGUGGUUAAUACCCAUCAGGAAAGACAUCACUCACAGAAGAAGCACCGGCUAACUCCGUGCCAGCAGCCGCGGUAAUACGGAGGGUGCGAGCGUUAAUCGGAAUUACUGGGCGUAAAGCGCGCGUAGGUGGCUUGAUAAGCCGGUUGUGAAAGCCCCGGGCUCAACCUGGGAACGGCAUCCGGAACUGUCAAGCUAGAGUGCAGGAGAGGAAGGUAGAAUUCCCGGUGUAGCGGUGAAAUGCGUAGAGAUCGGGAGGAAUACCAGUGGCGAAGGCGGCCUUCUGGACUGACACUGACACUGAGGUGCGAAAGCGUGGGUAGCAAACAGGAUUAGAAACCCUGGUAGUC
This 465-nucleotide ribosomal RNA is filed under the name Vreelandella stevensii. RNAcentral describes it as "partial 16S ribosomal RNA". It matches the Rfam family "Bacterial small subunit ribosomal RNA", at positions 338 to 795 of the family's 1533-position model. The record is from RNAcentral. Lineage: Bacteria; Pseudomonadati; Pseudomonadota; Gammaproteobacteria; Oceanospirillales; Halomonadaceae.